CCGUGCCCACGCCUCCCCUCAGGGCCGGGUUUGCAACAGAACAGCGCGCUCGGCUCGGCUUGGAUGCUCUAACCGUGUUUCCCUCGCGACCUGACCGGUUUCUCACCCCCACAAACACCCUCGCAACAAUUUGCCAGAUCCCUCUGUACCCGGCUGCUUCAGCAGGAUAAAUGGAUGGAAGAAAAAAUCACCAUUCGCUUGAGAACACUAUCAACUUCUCCUGCAACACCCAAAAUCACGUGGAUAGCAAGAUUAUCCCAAGAGGGAUGGAUAACCAGGUGAAUUCUACUUGCUGCUGCCGCUGCUGGGGAAAGACAAGGGAGGAAGGAAGGGGGGCAGUGUUUCCCUGUUAUAAAAGCUGGUGAGUGUCAGUAAACUUUAUAUAAAGUAGUAAACUAAGCCAGUAUAUAGUAAUAACCCUGUGACAAGUCUAAACUUUUUUUCAGGUUGCCCAGGGAAGUUGUGGCUGCCCCAUCCCUGGAAGUGUCCAAGGCCAGGUUGGACAGGGCUUGGAGCAACCUGGGACAGUGGAAGGUGACCCUCCCCAUGGCAGGGGGUGAAACAAGCCUGUACCAUACACUGCUGAAGAGAUUUCCUUCGUCCCACCUCUUCAAUAUUUAGGAACUAAUGUUUUGCAGAGUCCCAGAAAGAUCUGCAGCAGUUCCCAACUCAAGCGAGACAACGGAGACUUCUUGCACACAAGAAAUACUUUAGCAAAAAUGUAACUUGAAAGGUAAUAAUCUUUGAUUUAUUUUAAUAGAAUUAAUUUGUAUAAACCAUCAUAAUGGUCUUUUUUCAUAUAUUGAUAUUUGAAAAGACUCAAUCCUUUCAACUCCUCAUAAAUCUCUUCAUACCUUCAAUUACAUUCACUGUCCCCAGCUAAAAAUAAACCUGAAACUUUGUGAAUGUGUAACAUGUAAUGUAGCAAAAAACAAUUAGGCUCUUUUAAAAGCUAGAUUUUACCUAUUAUUGGCAAUUUAUCAUCAUCCAGCCUUAUUUCUGCAAGACCAUCCUAAAAUACAGUGGGAUUUAAAGUUUCAGAAGUUAGAGUUAUCCAGUUAGGGUAAUGCACUGAGAUUUCGUGUUUUUACUUAAUACAUAAUCAUAAACUAGUACAUAUAUUGAUAAAGAAUCUUCCUUGGCAUAACAAAUAGGA
Lepidothrix coronata (blue-crowned manakin) is the source of this 1156-nucleotide long non-coding RNA. RefSeq lists it as uncharacterized. NCBI's taxonomy places the organism in Eukaryota, Metazoa, Chordata, Aves, Passeriformes, Pipridae. The transcript has 4 exons. The record is from RefSeq and is a predicted model, not a curated record.